RNAcentral lists this long non-coding RNA (1249 nucleotides) under Equus caballus (horse). RNAcentral describes it as "lncRNA (ENSECAG00000057097.1)". The record is from RNAcentral. Lineage: Eukaryota; Metazoa; Chordata; Mammalia; Perissodactyla; Equidae.
GGUGGGUUUACAGCGGGGCCGGGAGGGGGCGACCCUGAGCCCCUCUCCUCCCCGGAGAGUGCGGGAGGGGCGCGUUCGAAAGGAUGCGGAGUGCGCACGGGCUGGUGCAUGGAGCUGAGGUCGCCGGUAGCGCUCCAGGGACCCCAGCUGCCUUCUUAAGGCCUGGCAGCUGGAUCCGGGCGCCGCCUGAUCGCCUUUGCGGUCCCUCCUUUGCGCCUCCCAGAGAAGCGGUUCUUGGAAAGUGCUGGAAGCUGGCUGCUGAGUCAGGGGCUUAGGGCCGCAUGGCCUUCAGGGAAUACACUGCGCCCCCCCCGCCCCCCCCCCGCUGCGGUAGUUCCCCGCAUUUAUUGAUGAAAAAAUAAACAAAGCCCCUUCUUUCGUGGGAGCGAUUGGGUCGGUGGUGGCAAGGAUAUGAAGCGACGUGAAAAUAGUGCUUCCCUGGGAGGCUGAUGUGAGCGCGAAAUGAGCUCCUACACGUGGAAAGAACGAGAACAGCGUCUGGCACAGCAGUCAGCUCAGUGAAGAUGAACUCUGCCCGGAAGUUUCCCUUCCCCGGCCUCUGUCUUCACCUCCUUGGUCCUCACCUGCGGGAUCCCUCAGCGCAGGGGCCAGAAAUCCGAGAUCAAGGGGUCAGCAGAGCUGGUUCCUUCCCGGGCUGCAGGAAAGAGUCCGUUCUGGGCGUCUCUCUCAGCUGCUGGUGGUUUGCUGGCCAUCUUUGGCGUUCCUUGGCUCCUAAAUGCAUCACCUCGAUCUCUGCCUUCAUCUUCACACAGCACUCUCCCAGCACACACGAAUGAAUGCUGUCUGGAAGGGGGACCACUCUCUGCCCCCGUCUGCGUCUGUUCCGGCUGCUGAAACAAAACCCCACAGAUUGGGUGCCUGUAAACAACAGAAAUUCAUGGCUCACAGUCCGGGAGGCUGGGAGUCCAAGAUGGAGGUGCCAGCGUGGUCGGAUUUUCCACACACAGGCCAAGCAGGGCGCCGUGCUGCACCCCACCUGCGUCUUCGCCAGCAGCCCCAAGGUGCUGCACACUAGGGAGCCAGAGGCCAGGGGCGGCGAAGGGAGCCGAGCCAAAGCUGCAACGUACCUUCCUGCACAGAUCUUUGCAUGGCCAUAAGCUUCCCUUCCUCCUGGGUAAACACCUGGGUGUGGAACGACUGGAUCAUAGGCGUCCCAAAGACAAGAACGAUGCCCGUAAAGAUGGGGAUGUGACUUCCCCCCAUAUCGGCGUUUCUUUAAUCACAAGCG